RNAcentral lists this ribosomal RNA (497 nucleotides) under uncultured bacterium. RNAcentral describes it as "partial 16S ribosomal RNA". It matches the Rfam family "Bacterial small subunit ribosomal RNA", at positions 28 to 507 of the family's 1533-position model. The record is from RNAcentral.
GAUGAACGCUGGCGGCGUGCCUAAUACAUGCAAGUCGAGCGAACAGACGAGGAGCUUGCUCCUUUGACGUUAGCGGCGGACGGGUGAGUAACACGUGGAUAACCUACCUAUAAGACUGGGAUAACUUCGGGAAACCGGAGCUAAUACCGGAUAACAUGUUGAACCGCAUGGUUCAACAGUGAAAGACGGUCUUGCUGUCACUUAUAGAUGGAUCCGCGCCGCAUUAGCUAGUUGGGAAGGUAAAGGCUUACCAAGGCAACGAUGCGUAGCCGACCUGAGAGGGUGAUCGGCCACACGGGAACGGAGACACGGUCCAGACUCCUACGGGAGGCAGCAGUAGGGAAUCUGCCGCAAUGGGCGAAAGCCUUACGGAGCAACGCCGCGUGAGUGAAGAAGGUCUUCGGAUCGUAAAGCUCUGUUAUGAGUGAAGAACAAAUGUGUAAGUAGCUAUGCACGUCUUGACGGUACCUAAUCAGAAAGCCACGGCUAACUACGUG